Molecule: ribosomal RNA, 1259 nt
Rfam family: Bacterial small subunit ribosomal RNA
CGUGAGUAACCUGCCCUUAACUCUGGGAUAAGCCUGGGAAACUGGGUCUAAUACCGGAUAGGAGCGUCCACCGCAUGGUGGGUGUUGGAAAGAUUUAUCGGUUUUGGAUGGACUCGCGGCCUAUCAGCUUGUUGGUGAGGUAAUGGCUCACCAAGGCGACGACGGGUAGCCGGCCUGAGAGGGUGACCGGCCACACUGGGACUGAGACACGGCCCAGACUCCUACGGGAGGCAGCAGUGGGGAAUAUUGCACAAUGGGCGAAAGCCUGAUGCAGCGACGCCGCGUGAGGGAUGACGGCCUUCGGGUUGUAAACCUCUUUCAGUAGGGAAGAAGCGAAAGUGACGGUACCUGCAGAAGAAGCACCGGCUAACUACGUGCCAGCAGCCGCGGUAAUACGUAGGGUGCGAGCGUUAUCCGGAAUUAUUGGGCGUAAAGAGCUCGUAGGCGGUUUGUCGCGUCUGUCGUGAAAGUCCGGGGCUUAACCCCGGAUCUGCGGUGGGUACGGGCAGACUAGAGUGCAGUAGGGGAGACUGGAAUUCCUGGUGUAGCGGUGGAAUGCGCAGAUAUCAGGAGGAACACCGAUGGCGAAGGCAGGUCUCUGGGCUGUAACUGACGCUGAGGAGCGAAAGCAUGGGGAGCGAACAGGAUUAGAUACCCUGGUAGUCCAUGCCGUAAACGUUGGGCACUAGGUGUGGGGACCAUUCCACGGUUUCCGCGCCGCAGCUAACGCAUUAAGUGCCCCGCCUGGGGAGUACGGCCGCAAGGCUAAAACUCAAAGGAAUUGACGGGGGCCCGCACAAGCGGCGGAGCAUGCGGAUUAAUUCGAUGCAACGCGAAGAACCUUACCAAGGCUUGACAUGUUCUCGAUCGCCGUAGAGAUACGGUUUCCCCUUUGGGGCGGGUUCACAGGUGGUGCAUGGUUGUCGUCAGCUCGUGUCGUGAGAUGUUGGGUUAAGUCCCGCAACGAGCGCAACCCUCGUUCCAUGUUGCCAGCACGUAAUGGUGGGGACUCAUGGGAGACUGCCGGGGUCAACUCGGAGGAAGGUGAGGACGACGUCAAAUCAUCAUGCCCCUUAUGUCUUGGGCUUCACGCAUGCUACAAUGGCCGGUACAAUGGGUUGCGAUACUGUGAGGUGGAGCUAAUCCCAAAAAGCCGGUCUCAGUUCGGAUUGGGGUCUGCAACUCGACCCCAUGAAGUCGGAGUCGCUAGUAAUCGCAGAUCAGCAACGCUGCGGUGAAUACGUUCCCGGGCCUUGUAC